This 305-nucleotide ribosomal RNA is filed under the name uncultured bacterium. RNAcentral's name for it is "bacterial SSU rRNA". It matches the Rfam family "Bacterial small subunit ribosomal RNA", at positions 334 to 656 of the family's 1533-position model. The record is from RNAcentral.
GCAACCUACGGGACGCAGCAGUAGGGAAUUUUGCGCAAUGGGGGAAACCCUGACGCAGCAACACCGCGUGAAUGUUAAGCCCUUCGGGGUGUAAAGUUCUGUCAAUAGGGACGAAUUUUGACUGUACCUAUAAAGGAAGCACCGGCUAACUCCGUGCCAGCAGCCGCGGUAAUACGGGGGGUGCAAGCGUUGUCCGGAAUCAUUGGGCGUAAAGCGUUCGUAGGCGGUAAAGUAAGUCAGAUGUUAAAGCCCGGGGCUCAACUCCGGUUCGGCAUUUGAUACUACUUGACUAGAAUGCGGUAGAG